AUUCUACUCCCUCCGUUCCGAAUUACUUGUCUUGGAUUUGUCUCGAUACGGAUGUAUCUAGACUCAUUUUAGUGCUAGAUACCUUCGUAUCUAGAUAAAUCUAAGACAAGUAAUUCGGAACGGAGGAAGUACGUC
Molecule: non-coding RNA, 135 nt
Organism: Triticum urartu
Lineage: Eukaryota; Viridiplantae; Streptophyta; Magnoliopsida; Poales; Poaceae
Source: Rfam